GAUGAACGCUGGCGGCGUGCCUAAUACAUGCAAGUCGAGCGAACAGAUGAGGAGCUUGCUCCUCUGACGUUAGCGGCGGACGGGUGAGUAACACGUGGAUAACCUACCUAUAAGACUGGGAUAACUUCGGGAAACCGGAGCUAAUACCGGAUAAUAUAUUGAACCGCAUGGUUCAAUAGUGAAAGACGGUUUUGCUGUCACUUAUAGAUGGAUCCGCGCCGCAUUAGCUAGUUGGUAAGGUAACGGCUUACCAAGGCAACGAUGCGUAGCCGACCUGAGAGGGUGAUCGGCCACACUGGAACUGAGACACGGUCCAGACUCCUACGGGAGGCAGCAGUAGGGAAUCUUCCGCAAUGGGCGAAAGCCUGACGGAGCCACGCCGCGUGAGUGAUGAAGGUCUUCGGAUCGUAAAACUCUGUUAUUAGGGAAGAACAAAUGUGUAAGUAACUAUGCACGUCUUGACGGUACCUACUCAGAAAGCCACGGCUAACUACGUG
This 497-nucleotide ribosomal RNA is filed under the name uncultured bacterium. Its description in RNAcentral is "partial 16S ribosomal RNA". It matches the Rfam family "Bacterial small subunit ribosomal RNA", at positions 28 to 507 of the family's 1533-position model. The record is from RNAcentral.